RNAcentral lists this ribosomal RNA (253 nucleotides) under uncultured bacterium. RNAcentral's name for it is "partial 16S ribosomal RNA". It matches the Rfam family "Bacterial small subunit ribosomal RNA", at positions 524 to 776 of the family's 1533-position model. The record is from RNAcentral.
UACGUAGGUGGCGAGCGUUGUCCGGAUUUACUGGGCGUAAAGGAUGCGUAGGUGGAUAUUUAAGUGAGAUGUGAAAUACCCGAGCUUAACUUGGGUGCUGCAUUUCAAACUGGAUAUCUAGAGUGCAGGAGAGGAGAAUGGAAUUCCUAGUGUAGCGGUGAAAUGCGUAGAGAUUAGGAAGAACACCAGUGGCGAAGGCGAUUCUCUGGACUGUAACUGACACUGAGGCAUGAAAGCGUGGGUAGCAAACAGG